UACGAAGGGGGCUAGCGUUGUUCGGAAUCACUGGGCGUAAAGCGCACGUAGGCGGCUUUCUAAGUCAGGGGUGAAAUCCUGGAGCUCAACUCCAGAACUGCCUUUGAUACUGGAAAGCUUGAGUUCGGGAGAGGUGAGUGGAACUGCGAGUGUAGAGGUGAAAUUCGUAGAUAUUCGCAAGAACACCAGUGGCGAAGGCGGCUCACUGGCCCGGUACUGACGCUGAGGUGCGAAAGCGUGGGGAGCAAACAGG
This 253-nucleotide ribosomal RNA is filed under the name uncultured bacterium. Its description in RNAcentral is "partial 16S ribosomal RNA". It matches the Rfam family "Bacterial small subunit ribosomal RNA", at positions 524 to 776 of the family's 1533-position model. The record is from RNAcentral.